CCUACGGGUGGCAGCAGUGAGGAAUAUUGGUCAAUGGACGAGAGUCUGAACCAGCCAAGCAGCGUGAAGGAUGAAUGCCCUAUGUGUUGUAAACUUCUUUUGUAUGGGAAUAAAACAGGGUAUGCGUCCCCGCAUGUAUGUACCAGAUGAAUAAGGAUCGGCUAACUCCGUGCCAGCAGCCGCGGUAAUACGGAGGCUCCGAGCGUUAUCCGGAUUUAUUGGGUUUAAAGGGUGCGCAGGGGGUCUGGUAAGUCAGCGGUCAAAACCCGGGGCUCAACCCCUGCCCCGCGGUUGAAACUGGCAGUCUCGAGUGGGAGAGAAGUAUGCGGAAUGCGCGGUGUAGCGGUGAAAUGCAUAGAUA
This 361-nucleotide ribosomal RNA is filed under the name uncultured bacterium. RNAcentral describes it as "partial 16S ribosomal RNA". It matches the Rfam family "Bacterial small subunit ribosomal RNA", at positions 338 to 696 of the family's 1533-position model. The record is from RNAcentral.